This is a long non-coding RNA of Canis lupus familiaris (dog), 2074 nucleotides long. RefSeq lists it as uncharacterized. The transcript has 3 exons. Lineage: Eukaryota; Metazoa; Chordata; Mammalia; Carnivora; Canidae. The record is from RefSeq and is a predicted model, not a curated record.
GGGCCGAGGGGCCGCCUUCUCGCCCCGUGGCCGACCGCGCGGGGCAUGGCCGCCGCCGGGCCGCGCUUUCUGCCGCUUUUCUUCCUUGCUGGCGGGUGGUGCUCCCCGCCGCCGGCCGCGCCCGCCUGCCGCUUGUCUCGCCCCGGGAGAGCCCGGUCUUGGAAGAGUUGAGGCGGGAGGAGGUGUUCCUGGCAUGAUCAAGCCCCAAAAUACAGUCACGUUACUUGCUUCACCCGUGAAGAAGGAGCUGCCAAAUUGAAACGAAUAGAUGCUUAUUAAUACCUCAGAAGCGGGAUCCCUGGGUGGCGCAGCGGUUUGGCGCCUGCUUUGGCCCAGGGCGCGAUCCUGGAGACCCGGGAUCAAAUCCCAUAUCGGGCUCCUGGUGCAUGGAGCCUGCUUCUCCCUCUGCCUGUGUCUCUGCCUCUCUCUCUCUGUGUGACUAUCAUAAAUAAAUGAAAAUUAAAAAAAAAAAAUACCUCAGAAGCAUUACUGCUCCCCAGCCAGCUGCAACCCACAGAAUAUUUAGGGGCCCAUUGCAUUUACUCUGGAGAGAGGUGUGUGCCUGUGAUCCAUGCCCUGUGGUCAGUGCUUCGGAAGUGAGAAUGCUCCAGGCUUAUCGAGAUCUUGCAAUGGCCCUGGGGCGUCUGACUCCUGGCCCUAUGCUUCCCCACUGCUCCCUGCUCCCGUCUGAGCUCAUUUCUUCAUCUGUACAGUGGGGAGGACGAUGCUUUGAGCAGAAUAAGGAGGAAGCGAGGCCACGUGUUGAGUAUGGCAGCCAGCCGUUGUUGGAACCAAAGUCCGCACGGUCCUGGAGCUGCGACAGGCGUCACCGGCCAGGGCUGCUCUGCGUAUUAUGCAUCUAGAACAGAUGGAGGGCCCAGAGUUAGCAAGUUAGGGAGGACUUGGAGGGUUAACCAGGUUGGGAGCCCGCUGGAGAAGUGGACAGGAAAUUAAUGCCUUCAGCUCAGUCUUCCUUCCUCCCUUUGCCACACUGCUCCCCACCCCUGCCCCCCAGGACAGGUGCAGCAGCAACAUGAAACAAACUCAACCGGUUUUAAGCAGAUUUAAACAAUCAGAACAGGCUCAGGAGGCUUAGAGGCCCCUGCCUCAACAGGCAGUAACUUUUUUUUUUUUUUUUUUUUAAAGAUUUCUUUGAGAGAGAGGACAGAGGGAAAGAGAGUCCUCACGCCAGGGAGCCUGACCUGGGGUUCAUCCCAGGACCUGAGCCAAAAUCAGGAGUUGGCUUUGCAACAGGCUGAGCCACCUAGACACCUCCAGGCAUGAAUUUUUCAAUUGUUUGAGUUUGGGACGGUCUCGGGGAGGCCUGGAGUACCUGGGCAUUUGGGGCAAUUGGGGGCCUUAGGGAUGUGGCUAUUUACCAAUCCGUAGCGGACAUCCAGUUGGGGCCCUGUCAGAGCAUCCCCGCUGAAAAUCUGCCUGUUUAGGGAGCAUGGGGCUUCAGUCCAGGCCCUGGCAUGUGAACGACAGGAUCUCCUCUGAGAGCUGGGGUCUCCCAGUGAAGCCUCGGCUUCCCGGGGCCCCUGGACAUUUGAGUGGCACCUGUAUGGAACUUUGCUAGGUGUGCAGGUCUGCCCAUCUUAGACUUGGGGAAAUCUUUCCCCUUCCCUGUUCCUAGCUGACACAUUUCCUGUCUGCUCGCUCUCCACACCAGUGCUCCCCUCUUUCGCAACACCUUACUGGUGAAUUCAGCCCUGACACCGCAUCAUUAGCAACUGGGGAGCUAGUGCUUCAUUCCUUAAGGGCAAGGAAGACAACCUUCAAACUGCCAGGACACGAGGAAAAAUAUUUGUAUUUGUAUUUGGUAAAGGGAAAAAAUAGAAAUCACUACACAACUCUAGAAAAGUCUUUUUAGAAAAGAAAGUAGUUUGACAAUACAUAUCAAAUAAGUUUAUAGCCUAGUGAUUUCCCUACUAGGGAUAUAACUUCAGGAACUAAUCAGAGAAUUUUUUUAGGGGCACCUAGGUGGCUCAGUGGUUGAGCCAUCGGGAAACUGCCCAAUAUGUUACAUUUUAAAAGCAGAUUGAAAAAACAAAAAAUAAAAAAUAAAAAAAAU